RNAcentral lists this ribosomal RNA (253 nucleotides) under uncultured bacterium. RNAcentral's name for it is "partial 16S ribosomal RNA". It matches the Rfam family "Bacterial small subunit ribosomal RNA", at positions 524 to 776 of the family's 1533-position model. The record is from RNAcentral.
UCCGUAGGGUGCGAGCGUUGUCCGGAAUUACUGGGCGUAAAGAGCUCGUAGGUGGUUUGUCGCGUUGUUCGUGAAAACUCACAGCUUAACUGUGGGCGUGCGGGCGAUACGGGCAGACUGGAGUACUGCAGGGGAGACUGGAAUUCCUGGUGUAGCGGUGGAAUGCGCAGAUAUCAGGAGGAACACCGGUGGCGAAGGCGGGUCUCUGGGCAGUAACUGACGCUGAGGAGCGAAAGCGUGGGGAGCGAACAGG